AUUUUGCGCAAUGGGCGAAAGCCUGACGCAGCAACGCCGCGUGAGUGAUGAAGGCCUUCGGGUUGUAAAGCUCUUUUGGUAGGGAAGAAAAAAAUGACGGUACCUACUGAAUCAGCACCGGCUAACUCUGUGCCAGCAGCCGCGGUAAUACAGAGGGUGCAAGCGUUAUUCGGAAUUAUUGGGCGUAAAGAGCACGUAGGUGGCUUGGUAAGUCUGGUGUGAAAUCCCUGAACUCAAUUCAGGAAGUGCAUUGGAUACUGCUAGGCUCGAGUAUGGGAGAGGAGAGCGGAAUUCCAGGUGUAGAGGUGAAAUUCGUAGAUAUCUGGAGGAACAACAGAGGCGAAGGCGGCUCUCUGGACCAUUACUGACACUGAGGUGCGAAAGCGUGGGGAGCAAAC
RNAcentral lists this ribosomal RNA (398 nucleotides) under uncultured bacterium. RNAcentral's name for it is "bacterial SSU rRNA". It matches the Rfam family "Bacterial small subunit ribosomal RNA", at positions 361 to 773 of the family's 1533-position model. The record is from RNAcentral.